UACAGAGGGUGCGAGCGUUAAUCGGAAUUACUGGGCGUAAAGCGUGCGUAGACGGUCAAGUAAGUCGGGUGUGAAAGCCCCGGGCUCAACCUGGGAAUUGCAUUCGAGACUGCGUGGCUAGGGUGCGGAAGAGGGAAGCGGAAUUUCCGGUGUAGCGGUGAAAUGCGUAGAUAUCGGAAGGAACACCAGUGGCGAAAGCGACUUUCUGGCCUGUUCUUGACGCUGAGGCGCGAAAGCUAGGGGAGCAAACGGG
Molecule: ribosomal RNA, 253 nt
Filed under: uncultured bacterium
Lineage: Bacteria
Description: partial 16S ribosomal RNA
Rfam family: Bacterial small subunit ribosomal RNA
Source: RNAcentral